RNAcentral lists this ribosomal RNA (234 nucleotides) under uncultured Lactobacillus sp. RNAcentral describes it as "partial 16S ribosomal RNA". It matches the Rfam family "Bacterial small subunit ribosomal RNA", at positions 129 to 356 of the family's 1533-position model. The record is from RNAcentral. Lineage: Bacteria; Bacillati; Bacillota; Bacilli; Lactobacillales; Lactobacillaceae.
CCCAAGAGAUCGGGAUAACACCUGGAAACAGAUGCUAAUACCGGAUAACAACAGAUGAUGCCUAUCAACUGUUUAAAAGAUGGUUCUGCUAUCACUCUUGGAUGGACCUGCGGUGCAUUAGCUAGUUGGUAGGGUAACGGCCUACCAAGGCGAUGAUGCAUAGCCGAGUUGAGAGACUGAUCGGCCACAUUGGGACUGAGACACGGCCCAAACUCCUACGGGAGGCAGCAGCGC